UGGGGAAUAUUGCACAAUGGGCGAAAGCCUGAUGCAGCAACGCCGCGUGAGUGAUGAAGGCCUUCGGGUUGUAAAGCUCUGUCUUUUGGGACGAUAAUGACGGUACCAAAGGAGGAAGCCACGGCUAACUACGUGCCAGCAGCCGCGGUAAUACGUAGGUGGCAAGCGUUGUCCGGAUUUUACUGGGCGUAAAGGAUGCGUAGGCGGAUUUUUAAGUGAGAUGUGAAAUACCCGGGCUUAACUUGGGUGCUGCAUUUCAAACUGGGAAUCUAGAGUGCGGGAGAGGAGAAUGGAAUUCCUAGUGUAGCGGUGAAAAUGCGUAGAGAUUAGGAAGAACACCAGUGGCGAAGGCGAUUCUCUGGACCGUAACUGACGCUGAGGCAUGAAAGCGUGGGUAGCAAAACAGGAUUAGAUACCCUGGUAGUCCACGCCGUAAACGAUGAGUACUAGGUGUAGGAGGUAUCGACCCCUUCUGUGCCGCAGUUAACACAAUAAGUACUCCGCCUGGGAAGUACGAUCGCAAGAUU
This 527-nucleotide ribosomal RNA is filed under the name uncultured bacterium. Its description in RNAcentral is "partial 16S ribosomal RNA". It matches the Rfam family "Bacterial small subunit ribosomal RNA", at positions 355 to 895 of the family's 1533-position model. The record is from RNAcentral.